This 237-nucleotide ribosomal RNA is filed under the name Clostridium perfringens. RNAcentral's name for it is "partial 16S ribosomal RNA". It matches the Rfam family "Bacterial small subunit ribosomal RNA", at positions 1149 to 1386 of the family's 1533-position model. The record is from RNAcentral. Lineage: Bacteria; Bacillati; Bacillota; Clostridia; Eubacteriales; Clostridiaceae.
CUGCCUGGGUUAACCAGGAGGAAGGUGGGGAUGACGUCAAAUCAUCAUGCCCCUUAUGUGUAGGGCUACACACGUGCUACAAUGGCUGGUACAGAGAGAUGCAAUACCGUGAGGUGGAGCCAAACUUAAAAACCAGUCUCAGUUCGGAUUGUAGGCUGAAACUCGCCUACAUGAAGCUGGAGUUACUAGUAAUCGCGAAUCAGAAUGUCGCGGUGAAUACGUUCCCGGGUCUUGUAC